Molecule: ribosomal RNA, 1222 nt
Filed under: Tenebrionoidea gen. 14 sp. NLG-2012
Lineage: Eukaryota; Metazoa; Arthropoda; Insecta; Coleoptera
Description: partial 16S ribosomal RNA
Source: RNAcentral
UUCUUUAAAUUUAAAAGAUUUGGCGGUAUUUUAAUCUAUUUAGAGGAAUCUGUUUUUUAAUUGAUAAUCCACAAUUAAAUUUACUUUUAUUUUAAAUUUAUAUAUCGUUGUUAUUUGAAUAUUUUUUUAUUAAUAUUGUCAGAUCAAGGUGUAGUUUAUGUAAAAGUUAAAAUGGAUUACAAUAUAAAUUUAAUAUAAAUUGGAUUUAAUAGUAAGUUUUAAAAUAUGUACAUAUUGCCCGUCACUUUCAACUAAAUUGAAAUAAGUCGUAACAAAGUAGAUUUACUGGAAAGUGAAUCUAGAAUCAAAUUAUAGCUAAAUAAGUAUUUUAUUUACAUUAAAAUGAUAGUUGAAAUUCAAUUUAAUUUGAAUUUAAUUAUUUAUUUUGAGUUUAUGGAGAUUUAUUUUUAAUAAAAAAUUUUUUAUUUAGUAUUUUAAAGAAAAAAUUUUAUGAUAGUUUAUAGUAUUGUGAAAGAAUAUAUUUAAUUUUUAAAAAGAAAAUUUAAUUUAUUGUACCUUGUGUGUCAGGGUUUAUUAAUUUAAUUUUCUCGAAAUUAAAAGAGCUAAUUUUAAUGUGAAAUAAUUAUUUAUAAUAUAAUUUUAGUAAUGAAAUGUUAUUCGUUUUUAAUUAUAUCUAGUUUUUUAAUAAAUAAAUUUAAUUUAAUAAUUAAUUAAUAUUUAAAUAAGGGAUAAGCUUUAAAAUAAAAUUUAAUAAUUUAUAUAUAAAUAAUAAUUAAUAGAAUUAGAAUUUUUAAUUUUUAAAAAAAUGUUAUAAUUAUUUUUUAAUUUUUUAUUAAAAUAAUAAUUUUAAUUUUAAUAAUUAUGUAAUAAUGAUAAAAUUAGUAAAAUUAUUUUAAGGAAUUCGGCAAAUAAAUUUUCACUUGUUUAUUAAAAACAUGUCCUUUUGAUUAUAAUUUAAGGUCGGAUCUGCUCAAUGAUUAAAUAGCUGCAGUAUAUUAACUGUACGAAGGUAGCAUAAUCAUUAGUUUUUUAAUUGAAGCUGGAAUGAAUGAUUUGAUGAAAAAUUUACUGUCUCAAUAAUUUUAUUUUUAAGUUAAAAAGCUUAAAUAUUGUAAAAAGACGAGAAGACCCUAUAGAAUUUUUUUAUUGGGGUGAUAUAAAAAUUUAAAGAACUUUUUAAUUUUAUGAAUAUAUGAUCCUAGAUUAAAAGAAUAAAUUACCUUAGGGAUAACAGCGUAAUUUUUUUAAAGAGUUCAUAUCG